CGCCAAACCACGCCCGAUUACAGCAAGACUAUCGGCAACAGAUGGUCACUACUCUCGGAUCAUCGCAAAGGAGCGGAGCUGCGGAGGGCACUCACGAAGCAGUCGUCAUCGAUGGUGUAGAUGUACUUCUUCUUGGAGACCAUGUAGCCGAAGCAGCGGCAGGCGGAGUCCUUGAAGGAGAUGCAGUACGCCUUGGGCCCCAGGAUGCGGUUGAUGUCGUUGCGGUUGUAGAGCUCGUAGUCGAAGCCUUCGGGGACACGGAUGGUCUUGCUGGGGUCGCCGUCCUGCACGAUGAUGAGGUGGUAGGGAUGGAAGAAGGACCGCCACAUCUCCAGGAAGUCGAGGUUGCGGAUCGUCGGGAUGACG
RNAcentral lists this unclassified non-coding RNA (366 nucleotides) under Zea mays. Its description in RNAcentral is "misc RNA Zm00001eb108810". The record is from RNAcentral. Lineage: Eukaryota; Viridiplantae; Streptophyta; Magnoliopsida; Poales; Poaceae.